RNAcentral lists this transfer RNA (78 nucleotides) under Acidobacteriota bacterium. RNAcentral's name for it is "tRNA-Arg". It matches the Rfam family "tRNA". Rfam says of the family: Transfer RNA (tRNA) molecules are approximately 80 nucleotides in length. The record is from RNAcentral. Lineage: Bacteria; Pseudomonadati; Acidobacteriota.
GCGCCCGUAGCUCAGCUGGAUUAGAGCGUCGGUCUCCGAAGCCGAAGGUCACAGGUUCGAAUCCUGUCGGGCGCACCA